AACGGAGGGAAAGAAAGAGAAAGAAGAAAAAAAUGAGAAAUGAUAUAAAUUUUAUCCAAAUAGUAUAAUUUUUAUCUAAAGAGUGUAAGUUUGAGUGUAAUUUCUAUCUCAAAGAGUAUAAUUUUCAUUUAAAAUAGUACAAUUUUUUUUUAAAAUAGUACAAUUUUAUUUUAACAGAGUAAUUUUAUAUUCUUCUUAUUUUUUUUAUAAUUUUUUAUCUUUCCAAUACAAAAAAUAUAUUUUUAUUUUUA
This 251-nucleotide long non-coding RNA is filed under the name Ananas comosus (pineapple). RNAcentral's name for it is "long non-coding RNA (ACOM_LNC016285)". Lineage: Eukaryota; Viridiplantae; Streptophyta; Magnoliopsida; Poales; Bromeliaceae. The record is from RNAcentral.